This 798-nucleotide long non-coding RNA is filed under the name Marmota monax (woodchuck). Lineage: Eukaryota; Metazoa; Chordata; Mammalia; Rodentia; Sciuridae. The record is from RNAcentral.
UUUUUUUUAACAACUAUAAGCAAUCUUGACUCCAAGACCCAGACUCCAGGUAACAAGGAUCUCCUCACUAAGGAGAAAUCCUUCAACAUUCACAAUCAUUUACUAGGAGACACCAGUGAGGUCUCCACUGUACAGUGACUGACUCUCAGACAAAACACCACAACCCAAACACCAACCUUAUAUUUCUUAAGCUUCCAUACUACCUCUGAGUAUGACAUUACCAAGUCAUUUAUCUUCUCUAAAUCUACAUUUUAUUAUCUUUAAUAUGAAGGGAUUGUAUUAUGGAUCUAAUUUCCCUUCUAGCUCUAACAUGAAAUAUUUGUUGGAUAUAAUAAUCUAUAUUAACAUUGUCAAUGGCAGUUUCUAUUUUAAGCUUUAAAUACCAAGGGCAACAUAAUGCUUCAUAGUACAAAAAUAUCUCAUUGCCAUAUAUCCUUUGAGAGAAAUAUUUCUGCAAAACUUUCCUUGCUCUCCUUGGGGGUUGGGUCAUGCCACUAUUAGACUCUCUAAGCCAGGAGACAGAUGCCAGUGAUACAGGAUGGCAGGUAGGGAUUUUAUCGAUUUGAUUUGAACUGAAAUGCUUUGAAAAUGCCCAGGGUUUUUCCUUGGAAAAUAUUUUUGCCUCUAAUAUUAUCUCCAGUGAUGAAGAGUUAGUGUCAAAGGUUUGUGAAUGGAUUUCAGAAUGUACAAGUGGCACCUCCCAUCUUUAGCUGUCUACAUUUUUUUAAUAACCGCUUGCAUAUUUUUGGUCAACCACUGUAAAAUAAACAGUCCUUCCCAAAUGUUUUUGUUUUCUUU